Molecule: small RNA, 449 nt
Filed under: Drosophila virilis
Lineage: Eukaryota; Metazoa; Arthropoda; Insecta; Diptera; Drosophilidae
Description: GJ26613
Source: RNAcentral
GAAUCUUCGAGUGGCGCACAAAGGCGUUUGUCAAGUGUUAUCGAAAGUGUUUAGAUCGGGAUUAUAACUGAACAGAGUGUAUAGAAAUUAGAUAGUGCACAUCUAACAAUAUUUUAAAAAGCACACGAUCUAAUCUCAUGCAAGGCAUAUUCAAAAAGAAUAACAAUUAAAACCCAUGAGUGCUUGAAAUAAUUUAGAAGUGUGAGCUUAAACUAAGCCCAUUAAAGUUUACUCUUCUCAGGAUUACGCAUCAGAUCCGCAGCUGUACAAAAGCACAUACACGUAUAGAGGAAGCGGUCAGUGCACCGCACUGGAACCCCUGGAUCGGGCCACUCACCUGACGAACCCAGCACACACACAAUAUUAGGUGGCAGCCAUGACGAGCAUCUCGGCACUGCUGCAUCGCAGUCACAGUCACAGCCAUAAUAGCAAUGGCUACACGAGCAGCG